This 343-nucleotide unclassified non-coding RNA is filed under the name soil metagenome. RNAcentral describes it as "partial contains 5.8S ribosomal RNA, internal transcribed spacer 2, and large subunit ribosomal RNA". The stretch from base 1 to 120 matches the Rfam family "5.8S ribosomal RNA", at positions 35 to 154 of the family's 154-position model. The record is from RNAcentral.
GAUGAAGAACGCAGCGAAAUGCGAUAAGUAAUGUGAAUUGCAGAAUUCAGUGAAUCAUCGAAUCUUUGAACGCACAUUGCGCCCGCCAGCAUUCUGGUGGGCAUGCCUGUUCGAGCGUCAUUUCAACCCUCGACUUCCCUUUGGGGAAAUCGGCGUUGGGGACCGGCUGUAUACCGCCGGCCCCGAAAUGAAGUGGCGGCCCGUCCGCGGCGACCUCUGCGUAGUAAUCCAACUCGCACCGGAACCCCGACGUGGCCACGCCGUAAAACCCCCGACUUCUGAACGUUGACCUCGGAUCAGGUAGGAAUACCCGCUGAACUUAAGCAUAUCAAUAAGCGGAGGA